RNAcentral lists this unclassified non-coding RNA (452 nucleotides) under Hevea brasiliensis (rubber tree). Lineage: Eukaryota; Viridiplantae; Streptophyta; Magnoliopsida; Malpighiales; Euphorbiaceae. The record is from RNAcentral.
GCGUUUAUGAAGAUCACCUUGCUCUACCUGGAAAGUUCCCCCCAUGCAAAAAGCAACGAGUUUUCCCAAUCUCUCCACUAACACCAACGUACUUUCCGAGGCACGAUAGAUUUCAUGAGCUUUAUCCUCUAGCUCCUUAAGCCGUGAGUCGCCACGCCCAUCAAUGAGAACCACCUCCAUUGAUGCCUCACUGGGUUCAAUUUCUCUAAGUGAAAUUAAAGGCGGCAGCCGCCUUCCUUCCUCUUCAUCAUUACACAUCACCCACAGAUGAGGAUUCAUCCCGAGAAUGUUAUAGAAUCCAUCUGAAAUUCUGUCACCGUACGACAAGCAUCCACUAACCCAGAGACGAUAAGAUACUGUUUCUGCAUCGAAGGACUCAGGCACGCCCUCCUGCAAAAGUACAAGCUCACUAGCAAGGCCAGAUUGAAAACUAAGCCUCUUAGCUAAAGCAA